UUAGAUAAAAUGGAGGAGGGCUUGGUUGGGAUGAAAACUCCAGAAUUUGAGUCUGAAUUCCCAACUCCUUCUCCAUACUUGUCAAGAACUUUCAGUUUUAAGACCCCCCCCCCCCUAUUCAUAUCUUUUAUCUACGUAUAAUCACCUUAUCCAAGUUUCCGAUGUACAUUUUGUAUAAUACCUCCAGUAUUAAUUAUUCUUUGUCUAGAAUACCCACUGAGCAAGAUAUCAAGAGGAGGAUGCAGUUACCAAUCAAGUACACAAGUACCGGAGACCUGAGGAUCAUAGCAGAGCAGAUAAUGACUCGGGCAAGAUCUGCUCCAGCAGUAGAGAAGGACUCCAUUCUUGUACCCAGGACAAAUAUAAACAUGUGGGGAAAAAAUCGUCCUUAUUCCAAAGCAAAUUUAAUGAAUAAAUUCUGCGGAUAUGAGCCAGUUAUCAACAGGGGGAGAGAUGAGAGAUGCAUGUCAGAUUAUCUUCAAGUCUCUGAGAGAGGUGGUAUGCAGAACCCUCAAUUGGAGACUCUUCAUAAUCUACUCCCAGCUGGUGCUCCACUAUUAGAUUUCCUCAGCUGCACCAUGGAAAGACCUGAUGAUUGGAACCUACCAGGUAGAGCAGAGGUUGAUUUCUGGUCCUACAAUAGAGGUAUAACCAAGGAGAUUCUAAAUCAAGUUGAGGUUCGGGAGAUCGUUGUAGGUUUGUCCACAGAUGAAGAAAUUGAGGAGAUCACAUCUUGGUUUUGGGAUAAAUAUGCCAUUGACCAGAAGAUCCUCCCAACCAAUGUUGUGAGCAUGGACGUGGAAGAAAUCAAAGUUACCUUAUAUGAUACUCUCCGCAUUGCAGGACGGAUACCUUUCAAGAAAGGACAAUUGAUGUCAAGGAAGGAAGAACCACAGAUCCAUGGACAGCCUGAGGAUAGAUUGCAGCAGUUACCUGUAAAAGUGAUGAUUGGUAAUGGUCUUAACCACGCCCUUAUGGUUAGCCUGGAUUUGUUCCGGGAUUCCAAAGGGCGUUAUGUAUUAAAUAAGAUUAAAGCUCCGGAUUCAGUUAUUAAGUUUUUCUCCCUACUACCUAUCUGUACUGGAGUGGCCGUUAAACAUGAUGUUGAAGGAGUACUCAAGUUCUACAGCCUGAUUACUGAUCUAGACGUCACAAUGAAGGGUUUUAUUGAAGUUUCUUCUAUUGCUCUAGUAGCUGGGUAUGCACUGCAGGCAAGAAAUAUGAAUGCUCUAGCCAUGCAAGUUCUUGGUAUAGUGAUGAAUAAAAUGUGUUCGACCGCGGAUAAUCUCUGGGGACUUAGAUGGUCUGAUAUACCUGACUCCCUGAAGGUUUACGCAAUCGGUGACUUAAAGGUUGGUCAUCUUGCAUAUUCAAUCAUUUCUUCCAUCAUCAUGAGGGAUUAUAUUCCGGAUCCUGAGAUAUUCAUGUUUUACACAGGCAAGUUUGACCAAUGGCUGACUGCAAACUGGUUUUUAAACCUUCUGGCUACCACCCUGGAGGGUACUGAGAUUCAUGAUAAGUCCUUCAAAUAUGCAGUCUCCAGGUCAGAUCUAGUCAAGUGUUUGAGGUUUAGAUAUUCUGAAGAUUCAGCUCUCAUGGACGAAUCCCCUAUCAGAGUUCUCAUGUGGGACAAGACUCGUGGAGAAUGGCCAUCCCUAACGAAAGGAGGUUGUAGGUAUCUCCACCAAUGCAGAUCAUGGUUUGUUGAGAUGGCAAGAAUCUGGACCAGACAAGGUUUGAGAUGGGAUGAUGGUAUAAAGAUGCCAUCAGUGACCGGGGAGAUUAUGCAUCACGCCACGUUUAAAAUAUCACCUGUUCAGAUUGCUAAUUGCAACUUCAGGGAUGCAACUCACCACUCUUCUGGCCUGAACAGACCCGGAUCCUUGAAGGUAAAGAAGCUGGAGUUGGAUCCAUCAACAGUGAAGAGCUUUUCUACAGGCAAACACUGUAAGAAGGUGAACCGUGAGCAAGUUCCUGUGAUACUGGAAUGGGCCAGAGAAAAUCCUACUCUGAUUGCUGGAUUUUUGAGAAGGAUGGGCUCCGAUAUACAGUUCCAGAAGUUUUACCGGCACCUGUACGAUCCGUUGAGACACUGCUACAGAAGGAUAUUUAACUGUGAGGCGCUUACAGUCAUCUUCAUGGAAGGCGUGCUGCUCAAAACCUUGAGGUAUAAACACAAGGAGGAGGUGGAUGUCACUGCAAGGUUGGUUGAGGAGCUGAGAGUUCGCCGGAAUCGGAUAUCCUACUUAGAAGAAAUGAUUGAGAUGAACGAUGAUAGCCUAAGAGCAAGAUGGUCUGAAGAUCUCCCAUCUCUUCCUGAUUGGGUGAUUGCGAGACAGAAAAAGGUGAAAGCCCAGAAGAGACCCUGUCCUAGCUCCAACCCGGAGCAAGUGUUAAAGAAAGUGAAACUCUCCGCAGAUCCUCCUCAGGAAGUUGAGACUCUGGAGCCUGAACAGGUUCACGUGGAGUCUCAGUCCGAGGAGGAUGAAGAGGUAGUUGUAGAAAUAGAUGAGGGCGAGGUAGAAGAUGAUGCUCCUAUAAUUCCUGAGAUUAGGAGCCAGCCAACAGUCCAGGAUGAGCUAGAUGUUUCUGCUCCCAUGAAGAACAAGUGCAUUUCUCUCAAAAAGAAGGGGAAGAAAAAGAAGAAGGGUUCGUCCUCAAAAACCCUCACCUAUGAUGAGAUGAUCGAGUAUCAGAGGGUUUCAGUUUUCUCUGAUGAUGAUUUCACACUGGAGACAGAUUUUAAGGAAACCUUCUAAAGUAUUUUUUAGAUUCAAUGCUCAGCUGUCUUUAUAUAUUUAUAUACAGUUCCUAAUAAUGUUUUGUACUUUUUUUUAAUUUUUCGCCAAGCAGAAUUUAAUUAUAGAUUGCGGUUGCAUUUUUUGUGCAUCCAUAUUUUUCAUAUAUAUAUUAAUAAAGUUAAAUCAAUCCGAGAUUAAAACUAUAAAUUGCGGCUGUGAUUCUCCUGCCAUAUGUAAUAUGAUCUCCUUAGUCUCAAUAACAAUUAUUGUAAGUACAGUGGUACAAGAUUAAAAAUUUUCUGGAUCCUAUUGUUUUUGUUAUAUGUUUUGAAAAUCGUAUCCUAAUAAAUGUUGAAAUUGUUAUUAAAUAUGUUCAAUUCCUCAAACAAAAACAAUUUUUUGGGUAAAACUCCUUAUUAUUUGCACUUAGGUCUUUCGAUUAUGUUUCGAAAUAUUUCCCCCGCGGGAGUGUUACGCGUACUUUUAAGGGUUUUCGAAAAUAAACGAAAGUUACUCUUUUUUAGAAGGACUCACUGUAUCUAUCCUGUUGUAACUCUCCUAUUGGUUGGAAAUAGUUCCACCAUGAGAGCGAGUCUGCUAUUGGUCAGUUGGGACCGAGAUUUACCUGAGAAACAAAGCCCGACUCAUUCAGUAUAUAGAGCUCGAGCUGUCAACAAUAGUAAUUCAGUUCUAAGAUCGAGUCGUUUCUCAGGUUUAUCUUUUCAGAUUCUUGUAAUGGCUUGAACGGAUUAGUUUCCUUUUUAUUUUGUUCCAUCUAUCAGGAGCCAGCAUAUAUUUGAUCUACAGAAACGUGUUUCCAGACAGCAAAGAAUGGUUUAAACUUUUAUAUGGUUGCAUACUUCAAGUCUGGACGCGGGAUACAAAGAACGGUUACUGAGAUGGAAUCUAGGUAAUAAAACGGAUUUCUUUUAGACUACGAGUUUUGGUUUUAUUUACCGAUUCGCGCUUAACAGCCCUGUAUAAUUAUAAUUAAUUUCCAAAUCAUUAAAUUUCAAAACUUUGCGUGAGGCCAAAACCACUUCUCUUUAUUUUUCAGAGUAUAAUUAGCUUGGUAUAUCCCUAAAAAUAUUUUUACAUAUAUAUAUAACAGAAAACUUGUUAAGUUAACUUAAAAUACAUUGUGAUGGCAUGUACGUGCUCCUCCUUUGAAAGAUGGUUAAAAACUGGCCAUGACAGGACAAAAAGAGCGCGAUUGACUGCGGGCCCUCCUUUUUUUCAUCCUUUAUAAUUUCACAUCGGAUGAAGCUGUUUGUCUUUUCAACCUCAAAACUCAUCAAACGGACUGAUAAAUUAGUUUUGAUCCGACAACGGAGUCAUGCUCCGACUCGAAGACAAUUGCGGACUAAAAAAAGACGGCUUUUUAUCAUCCGAUGACGGAGCUCCACAAAAAGACAUUUUCGGAUGAAAAAAAGAAUUCCGACAUCUGUAGAAAACAAGAAAACGGUGGAAAGUAAAAAUUAUUUUCUA
RNAcentral lists this unclassified non-coding RNA (4229 nucleotides) under Eurytemora carolleeae. RNAcentral describes it as "uncharacterized LOC111716506". The record is from RNAcentral. Lineage: Eukaryota; Metazoa; Arthropoda; Copepoda; Calanoida; Temoridae.